ACGGCCACAUCACGUUGAAACACUGGUCCCUAUACGAUCACCGAAGUUAAGCAACGUCGAACCUUGUUACUACUUAUAUGGGUGACCUCUUGGGAAAUAUCAGAGUGCUGUAA
Molecule: non-coding RNA, 113 nt
Organism: Acanthosepion pharaonis
Lineage: Eukaryota; Metazoa; Mollusca; Cephalopoda; Sepiida; Sepiidae
Source: the annotation of a GenBank genome assembly